Molecule: ribosomal RNA, 373 nt
Filed under: uncultured bacterium
Lineage: Bacteria
Description: bacterial SSU rRNA
Rfam family: Bacterial small subunit ribosomal RNA
Source: RNAcentral
GACGAACGCUGGCGGCGUGCUUAACACAUGCAAGUCGAGCGGUAAGGCCCUUUCGGGGGUACACGAGCGGCGAACGGGUGAGUAACACGUGGGUGACCUGCCCUCAGCUCUGGGAUAAGCCUGGGAAACCGGGUCUAAUACUGGAUAUGACUCCAUGACGCAUGUUGUGGGGUGGAAAGCCUUGUGCGGCUGAGGAUGGGCCCGCGGCCUAUCAGCUUGUUGGNGGGUGAUGGCCUACCAAGGCGACGACGGGUAGCCGGCCUGAGAGGGCGACGGCCACACUGGGACUGAGACACGGCCCAGACUCCUACGGGAGGCAGCAGUGGGGAAUCUUGCGCAAUGGGCGAAAGCCUGACGCAGCGACGCCGCGUGA